GACGAACGCUGGCGGCGGGCUUAACACAUGCAAGUCGAACGGAAAGGCCCGGGUGUUGUGGGGUGCUCGAGUGGCGAACGGGUGAGUAACACGUGAGUAACCUGCCCUUGACUUUGGGAUAACUUCAGGAAACUGGGGCUAAUAGCGGAUAGGAGCUCCUGGUGCAGGGUGGGGGUUGGAAGGUUUCGGCGGUUGGGGAAGGACUCGCGGCGUAUCAGCUUGUUGGUGGGGUGGUGGCAUACCAAGGCUUUGACGGGUUGCCGGGCUGGUAGGGUGACCGGCCAAGUUGGGAUUGGGCUGAGGCCCAGCCCCCACCGGGAGGCAGCAGAGGGGAAUGUUGUACAAUGGACUGAAGGCUGAUGCAGCAACGCCGCGUGGGGGAUGACGGCCUGCGGGUUGUAUUCCACUUCCGCCUGUGACGAAGCGUGAGUGACGGUAAUGGGUAAAGAAGCACCGGCUAACUACGUG
RNAcentral lists this ribosomal RNA (468 nucleotides) under uncultured bacterium. RNAcentral describes it as "partial 16S ribosomal RNA". It matches the Rfam family "Bacterial small subunit ribosomal RNA", at positions 28 to 507 of the family's 1533-position model. The record is from RNAcentral.